GGCCGGAGUGGCUACAUGCAGUCGAGCGGGGAAUGUAGCUUGCUACAUUACCUAGCGGCGGACGGGUGAGUAAUGCUUAGGAAUCUGCCUAUUAGUGGGGGACAACAUUCCGAAAGGAAUGCUAAUACCGCAUACGUCCUACGGGAGAAAGCAGGGGACCUUCGGGCCUUGCGCUAAUAGAUGAGCCUAAGUCGGAUUAGCUAGUUGGUGGGGUAAAGGCCUACCAAGGCGACGAUCUGUAGCGGGUCUGAGAGGAUGAUCCGCCACACUGGGACUGAGACACGGCCCAGACUCCUACGGGAGGCAGCAGUGGGGAAUAUUGGACAAUGGGGGGAACCCUGAUCCAGCCAUGCCGCGUGUGUGAAGAAGGCCUUUUGGUUGUAAAGCACUUUAAGCGAGGAGGAGGCUACUAGUAUUAAUACUACUGGAUAGUGGACGUUACUCGCAGAAUAAGCACCGGCUAACUCUGUGCCAGCAGCCGCGGUAAUACAGAGGGUGCGAGCGUUAAUCGGAUUUACUGGGCGUAAAGCGUGCGUAGGCGGCUGAUUAAGUCGGAUGUGAAAUCCCUGAGCUUAACUUAGGAAUUGCAUUCGAUACUGGUCAGCUAGAGUAUGGGAGAGGAUGGUAGAAUUCCAGGUGUAGCGGUGAAAUGCGUAGAGAUCUGGAGGAAUACCGAUGGCGAAGGCAGCCAUCUGGCCUAAUACUGACGCUGAGGUACGAAAGCAUGGGGAGCAAACAGGAUUAGAUACCCUGGUAGUCCAUGCCGUAAACGAUGUCUACUAGCCGUUGGGGCCUUUGAGGCUUUAGUGGCGCAGCUAACGCGAUAAGUAGACCGCCUGGGGAGUACGGUCGCAAGACUAAAACUCAAAUGAAUUGACGGGGGGCCCGCACAAGCGGUGGAGCAUGUGGUUUAAUUCGAUGCAACGCGAAGAACCUUACCUGGUCUUGACAUAGUAAGAACUUUCCAGAGAUGGAUUGGUUGCCUUCGGGGAACUUACAUACAGGUGCUGCAUGGCUGUCGUCAGCUCGUUGUCGUGAGAUGUUGGGUUAAGUCCCGCAAACGAGCGCAACCCUUUUUCCUUAUUUGCCAGCGGGAUUAGCCGGCAACUUUAAGGGAUUACUGGCAGUGACAACUGAAGAAGCUGGUAACGAACGUCAAGUCAAUCAAUGCCUUAACGGACCAGGGUCUUUAACGACAACG
This 1201-nucleotide ribosomal RNA is filed under the name Acinetobacter sp. RNAcentral describes it as "bacterial SSU rRNA". It matches the Rfam family "Bacterial small subunit ribosomal RNA", at positions 41 to 1232 of the family's 1533-position model. Lineage: Bacteria; Pseudomonadati; Pseudomonadota; Gammaproteobacteria; Moraxellales; Moraxellaceae. The record is from RNAcentral.